This 72-nucleotide transfer RNA is filed under the name Bdellovibrionales bacterium. Its description in RNAcentral is "tRNA-Cys". It matches the Rfam family "tRNA". From Rfam's summary of the family: Transfer RNA (tRNA) molecules are approximately 80 nucleotides in length. Their secondary structure includes four short double-helical elements and three loops (D, anti-codon, and T loops). Lineage: Bacteria; Pseudomonadati; Bdellovibrionota; Bdellovibrionia; Bdellovibrionales. The record is from RNAcentral.
GGCCCGAUGGCCAAGUGGUAAGGCGGAGCACUGCAAAUGCUUUAUUCCUCGGUUCGAAUCCGGGUCGGGCCU